This 1066-nucleotide long non-coding RNA is filed under the name Cyanistes caeruleus (blue tit). Its description in RNAcentral is "lncRNA (ENSCCEG00000012156.1)". The record is from RNAcentral. Lineage: Eukaryota; Metazoa; Chordata; Aves; Passeriformes; Paridae.
GUACAUAAUAAAAGCAUUGACAUUUUUAAUGUUUUGUAUGGAAUAUCUCUAGGAUGAACUGGGAAGUCCACUGACUGCCUUCACUGCUGCCUUUGGCUUGGUUUUGUAAUUUUACAUCUUUGUCCUUACACCGGAGCCUGAUCCAGGAAACCAGGGAGUACUUCAGGUUCUUCCAUUGAAAUGCUUGAGGCUGGCAGAUGUGUUGACAAGUGACUGCCUGACCAGUGAGUUUGUCUCCCAGUUUGUAUUUGGGAAAGUUAGCUGAAUGCAAAAAGAAUCAAGAAACAGAGAAACAUUCCAUGGUCCUUAAAACCCAAAGGUUUUUGCUAAUUAAUGCCACCACUGUGGAAAUGGAAGCAGUUCUGCAAACAAGCUGCGACAAAUGGGAUUUUUAUUGCCAGUGGAAAAGCCCAGGGAAUAAUUAGCGCGUCCAUGGAGAUCUUUUGAUUACAGACAUCUGCAUUGGUAAUGUCCAGACGCAAAGAUCACCCAGGGAAAUGUUUUGGGAGUUUCACCUUAGGGCACAUUUAUUGUAUUGUCAGCUACACCCUUCAAAAUGCAGUCGGACAUAUGUGGGAAAAUAUUUUGUGAAAUGCUAGGCCAAGGAACCUGAUGUUGACUAAUCUGGUCUAGGGAAACUGGCUUUGCUUUCCAAAGCACUGUCCAGCUGCCAAGACUUGCAGAUGUAAUAUUUUGAUAUCUCAUUAAAGCUGAUUUCACAGAGAUAUUUCUCAGUGCUGCAUCUGAGUUGCUGUGAGUUGCCCGAGAUGCUUUUGCAGUUAUCACUGCCUUGCUGAAUAGGAUGAAGAGGAAACAACGAGACUGAUUAUUAAAAAGCCACAUGACUCCUUGAAAAUGAAACAUUGAAGAAAGAAUUCAUGUAAAGACAGGAUUUAUUAGUUCAGGUUUAAGGGUAACUUGAUUUGGGAUUUUCCUCUUGUCAAAGGGAUUCACGAUAUAAAUUAUGAAUCUACUUAUAGAAGUGGUAGAGGUUUUGCCUUUUUUGAAAAGGCAUGCUUUUAAACUGGCCAAUAAAAUAAUUAUUGCAGGCCUAUGAAGAAGAACU